Molecule: ribosomal RNA, 633 nt
Filed under: Curtobacterium sp. Ri1Pw_5635
Lineage: Bacteria; Bacillati; Actinomycetota; Actinomycetes; Micrococcales; Microbacteriaceae
Also listed under: 1 other name
Description: bacterial SSU rRNA
Rfam family: Bacterial small subunit ribosomal RNA
Source: RNAcentral
CCUGAUGCAGCAACGCCGCGUGAGGGAUGACGGCCUUCGGGUUGUAAACCUCUUUUAGUAGGGAAGAAGCGAAAGUGACGGUACCUGCAGAAAAAGCACCGGCUAACUACGUGCCAGCAGCCGCGGUAAUACGUAGGGUGCAAGCGUUGUCCGGAAUUAUUGGGCGUAAAGAGCUCGUAGGCGGUUUGUCGCGUCUGCUGUGAAAUCCCGAGGCUCAACCUCGGGCUUGCAGUGGGUACGGGCAGACUAGAGUGCGGUAGGGGAGAUUGGAAUUCCUGGUGUAGCGGUGGAAUGCGCAGAUAUCAGGAGGAACACCGAUGGCGAAGGCAGAUCUCUGGGCCGUAACUGACGCUGAGGAGCGAAAGCAUGGGGAGCGAACAGGAUUAGAUACCCUGGUAGUCCAUGCCGUAAACGUUGGGCGCUAGAUGUAGGGACCUUUCCACGGUUUCUGUGUCGUAGCUAACGCAUUAAGCGCCCCGCCUGGGGAGUACGGCCGCAAGGCUAAAACUCAAAGGAAUUGACGGGGGCCCGCACAAGCGGCGGAGCAUGCGGAUUAAUUCGAUGCAACGCGAAGAACCUUACCAAGGCUUGACAUACACCGGAAACGGCCAGAGAUGGUCGCCCCCUUGUGGU